CGGCGAGUUUGGAUGCGGCGAUCACCGCUAACGGUGGCGCGGCGGCGGAGAAAGAAAGGGUUUUGAUUUUGAUAUCCAUCUUCGUCGUCGCUUUGUGCACUGUGCUGCUAGGUCAAGACUAGAGUGAGUUUUCGGUAACUAACUUCUUACUAUCGCAGUCGCAAAAAUAGUAGAAUUUAGGUUUAAACGUGUCAUUGUCUCUGCACUUUCAUCAGAUCUUGACAUCGGUCCCUGCACUUUGUAAAUAUUGGUAUCGGUCUCUUUGUUAACUUUCUGUUAAAAAAAAAACACAAAACCAACGGUGUGCCACGUGGCCCAAUCAUUUCACGCCACGUGGCACCAAUAUCAAUAUUUUUACAAAGUGCAAGGACCAAUACCAAUAUUUUUACAAAGUACAGGGACCAAUACCAAUAGUUUUGUGUUUUUUUUUUUUGAACUAAUAGAGGGACCAAUACCAAUAUUUUUACAAAGUGCAGGGACCAAUUUCAAACAAAAAAAUGUGUAGGGACCAAUGUCAAAAUCUGAUGAAAGUGCAAGGACUAAAGACAUAUUUAAAUCUAGAAUUUAUAAAGAGCAGUGAUAUUUGAACAACC
This 593-nucleotide long non-coding RNA is filed under the name Medicago truncatula (barrel medic). RNAcentral's name for it is "long non-coding RNA (MTRU_LNC006398)". The record is from RNAcentral. Lineage: Eukaryota; Viridiplantae; Streptophyta; Magnoliopsida; Fabales; Fabaceae.